This 106-nucleotide microRNA precursor is filed under the name Canis lupus familiaris (dog). RNAcentral describes it as "mir-8834 microRNA precursor family". It matches the Rfam family "mir-8834 microRNA precursor family". RNAcentral also lists the same sequence under 1 other name. The record is from Rfam by way of RNAcentral. Lineage: Eukaryota; Metazoa; Chordata; Mammalia; Carnivora; Canidae.
AGGAGGAACAACCCCAGUGGCGGCGGCCAGCUCUGGAGCCCUGGAGUCAGCUCCUGCAAUAACUACAGAGCUCUCCGUCUGCAGGGCCUGGAUGCUCCGGGGGGCG